Molecule: ribosomal RNA, 433 nt
Filed under: uncultured bacterium
Lineage: Bacteria
Description: partial 16S ribosomal RNA
Rfam family: Bacterial small subunit ribosomal RNA
Source: RNAcentral
AACGAACGCUGGCGGCAUGCCUAACACAUGCAAGUCGAACGAGACCUUCGGGUCUAGUGGCGCACGGGUGCGUAACGCGUGGGAACCUGCCCUUAGGUUCGGAAUAACUCCCCGAAAGGGGUGCUAAUACCGGAUAAUGUCUUCGGACCAAAGAUUUAUCGCCUUUGGAUGGGCCCGCGUUGGAUUAGCUAGUUGGUAGGGUAAAAGCCUACCAAGGCGACGAUCCAUAGCUGGUCUGAGAGGAUGAUCAGCCACACUGGGACUGAGACACGGCCCAGACUCCUGCGGGAGGCAGCAGUGGGGAAUAUUGGACAAUGGGCGAAAGCCUGAUCCAGCAAUGCCGCGUGAGUGAUGAAGGCAGUAGGGUUGUAAAGCUCUUUUACCCGGGAGGAUAAUGACAGUACCGGGAGAAUAAGCGCCGGCUAACUCCGUG